AUGAUUGGGUUGUUUGCCAAAUCCAAAAAUUAAAUCACGGAUCCUAAAAUUUGCGGAAGAGAUAUAUACCUUCUCUCCUUCCUUAUCUCAACAACUCCCCUAUAUCUCUCACAUGUCAACGAUCAGUCUGGUGGAAGCAACCCACAAGGUAGCAGCGAUUGCGGCGGCGGUGAGGCAGCGGAAGGUCAAGCAGGAGCUGGCGGCUGAAAAUAUCCAU
Molecule: long non-coding RNA, 217 nt
Filed under: Setaria viridis
Lineage: Eukaryota; Viridiplantae; Streptophyta; Magnoliopsida; Poales; Poaceae
Description: long non-coding RNA (SVIR_LNC006211)
Source: RNAcentral